Molecule: ribosomal RNA, 441 nt
Filed under: uncultured bacterium
Lineage: Bacteria
Description: partial 16S ribosomal RNA
Rfam family: Bacterial small subunit ribosomal RNA
Source: RNAcentral
CCUACGGGAGGCAGCAGUGGGGGAUAUUGCACAAUGGGGGGAACCCUGAUGCAGCGACGCCGCGUGGGUGAAGGAGUGCUUCGGCAUGUAAAGCCCUAUCGGCAGGGAAGAAGCAAGACGGUACCUGACUAAGAAGCCCCGGCUAACUACGUGCCAGCAGCCGCGGUAAUACGUAGGGGGCGAGCGUUAUCCGGAUUCACUGGGUGUAAAGGGAGCGUAGACGGCCAAGCAAGCCAGGGGUGAAAGCCCGGGGCCCAACCCCGGGACUGCCCUUGGAACUGCAUGGCUGGAGUGCGGGAGGGGCAGGCGGAAUUCCUGGUGUAGCGGUGAAAUGCGUAGAUAUCAGGAGGAACACCGGCGGCGAAGGCGGCCUGCUGGACCGCGACUGACGUUGAGGCCCGAAGGCGUGGGGAGCAAACAGGAUUAGAUACCCCUGUAGUC